GCCGCGUGGGUGAAGAAGGCCUUCGGGUCGUAAAGCCCUUUUGUUGGGGAAGAAGCUCUGACGGUACCCAACGAAUAAGUCUCGGCUAACUACGUGCCAGCAGCCGCGGUCAUAAUCGAAUUCCCGCGGCC
RNAcentral lists this ribosomal RNA (131 nucleotides) under uncultured Chloroflexaceae bacterium. RNAcentral describes it as "partial 16S ribosomal RNA". It matches the Rfam family "Bacterial small subunit ribosomal RNA", at positions 396 to 540 of the family's 1533-position model. Lineage: Bacteria; Bacillati; Chloroflexota; Chloroflexia; Chloroflexales; Chloroflexaceae. The record is from RNAcentral.